This is a non-coding RNA of Phthorimaea operculella (potato tuberworm), 74 nucleotides long. NCBI's taxonomy places the organism in Eukaryota, Metazoa, Arthropoda, Insecta, Lepidoptera, Gelechiidae. The record is from the annotation of a GenBank genome assembly.
AGCGAUGUAGCGCAGUGGUAGUGCACCUGCCUGCGACGCAGAAGUUUCCGGGUUCGAUUCUCGGUGAGUCGUUU